Molecule: ribosomal RNA, 581 nt
Filed under: Nitzschia sp. 1BOF
Lineage: Eukaryota; Bacillariophyta; Bacillariophyceae; Bacillariales; Bacillariaceae
Description: eukaryotic LSU rRNA
Rfam family: Eukaryotic large subunit ribosomal RNA
Source: RNAcentral
AUGCAAAGAACUUUGAAAAGAGAGUUAAAGAGUACCUGAAAUUGCUGAAACGGAAGCGAAGGAAACCAGUGUCUGGUUGUGUCAUACUUCCCUUGCCGCUUGCGGUCUGGGCGCUGUGGCGCUUCUAUAUGUCUGCCUUGGUUGUGUCUCUCUGGAAGAGCGCUCACAGAGUUGAUGUGGGUUGCUAGCAUUGGACAUGACUGAGUGCAGACGAAAUGGUUUUCUUUACCCCGUCUUGAAACACGGACCAAGGAGUCUAACAUAUGUGCGAGUACAGGGGUGGCAAACCCCGGUGCGCAAUGAAAGUGACAGUGGUUGGAUUUUUUUGCACAAUCCGCCGGCCUCAAUCCUUCGGGAGAACGGUCUGAGUGUGAGCAUACAUGUUGGGACCCGAAAGGUGAUGAACUAUGCCUGAAUAGGGUGAAGCCAGGGGAAACUCUGGUGGAGGCUCGUAGCGAUUCUGACGUGCAAAUCGAUCGUCAAAUUUGGGUAUAGGGGCGAAAGACUAAUCGAAUUACCUAGUAGCUGGUUCCCUCCGAAAUUUCCCUCAGGAUAGCUGCAAUCGAAUGUCAAUUUUAUCA